Molecule: transfer RNA, 19 nt
Filed under: Aerobryidium filamentosum
Lineage: Eukaryota; Viridiplantae; Streptophyta; Bryopsida; Hypnales; Meteoriaceae
Also listed under: 1 other name
Description: partial tRNA-Phe
Source: RNAcentral
UCAAAAAGGCCGGAAUAGC